Long non-coding RNA from Cynara cardunculus var. scolymus (artichoke), 303 nucleotides. RefSeq lists it as uncharacterized. Lineage: Eukaryota; Viridiplantae; Streptophyta; Magnoliopsida; Asterales; Asteraceae. The record is from RefSeq and is a predicted model, not a curated record. The transcript is spliced from 2 exons.
GGUUUCUCUAACUACUUCUGAUUAGAUUGCAAGGUUAGUGCUGUCCACGUCAACAAUUGGGGGCUGUCCCGAUUGGAGAGUAGACUCGCCUUUGGGCUGUAGUACCGUGCCGAGCAGGCCUGAGAUUCGAGAUUUCUUGCAUAAAGCAACUUGCUGAUGUAGCAUGGAGUCAGCCACUUCUGCUUUGAGAUUACAUUGUUUACAUACAAUCGGUGCGAUACUCUCUUCUAUCCUUGUUGAUGUUUAAGCGAGUCUUGUAUCAGCUGUCUCUUUUGCCUGUAGUGGUUUCAUUGCAUUUAUAAU